Molecule: long non-coding RNA, 1313 nt
Filed under: Homo sapiens (human)
Lineage: Eukaryota; Metazoa; Chordata; Mammalia; Primates; Hominidae
Description: HSALNT0384582
Source: RNAcentral
AAGGUUUCAAAGAGGAGACGUUUGACUUGAGUUUUUAAGGAUGAGUUGAAGUUGAUCAGGAAGAUGGGCCUGUUAGGCAGCGGGAAUGGUGGUAUCAAUCGACAUGGUUUGCUCACAAUAUUCUCAUUGCUAGUUUCAUGGAUGUAUCCUGUGGCUUCUCCAUGAGAUAAUGAAGUUCUUGAAAGUGGGAGUGUCAUUUACACUCCUACCUGCAGACAGCAUCCUGACUACCGAUGCCCUGAACACACAUGGUGAAUUUGGCUGAAAUGAAGCAUUCUGUGCCUGCCCCACAAACCACCAAGGGACUGUGGGUUUAUUUGUCUCAAGAUGGUCAACACUGCUGUUUUCACAUUUUACUUGCUGUCAAAUAUAAAGAGAUAUCAUAUGUUGCCCGCCUCUGGUUUUCCUGAUGUCUCAAUUUAAGUGGUUUCCAAUUUGGGUAUGAAAUUAUCCAUCAGUCACAGAGAGAACUGGUGCCUUCAGCAGUGGCUGUUGGAAUAAGCCAGGGCUUAACUGGGGAAGCUAAUGGUGGAGGAGCAAGGGCUGGCUAGCAGAGGUUUGGCCCUGCUCCUCCAGGUCCCCUCUGGAAUACCACUUCUCCCCACUGGAUGGUGGGCUGUGUCUAGCCCAUUCCCCAAGAUCCAGUUUGGAUGACACUUCACCUAUUUAUUCAUUGGAUGCUAAUAGUGUCUUCCCUACGCCAGGGACUGACCUAGGCAUCAGGGAUGCAGAGAGCAGGCCUUGGUCACUGUCCCCUGGACUCACACAGUCUGCAGCCUGGUGGAGGAGACACCAUGUGAGCUGAGCUAUAAUGACUGAAUCCAGUCCCUCACCAGAUGCAGUAACCUACAAGUGUCUGUUGCUCAGAAUGUCUUUAUUUUGAUCAGUCACUUCCACAGAGGACUGCCCAAAGAGACGCCUCUGUCCAGCUCUCGGGUCUGUCUGUGUGGAGUACGAGGCGUGUAGCCCUGGUGAUCGUAGAGUGAUGUUAGAUGUCUCAGGGUCAGGUGUUGAAUAAUAUGGGCUCUGCUUGGGAAGGUGUUCCCCUUUUCCUUUUGGCCAUGCUGGUGAGGUCUGAGGUUGAUGCUAGCCCGGCUUUAACUCUUGGAGACCCUGACAAAGUGAGUGUGGGCCUCUGGGUCAUGGUGCCGUCGGCCACUGGGAAGUUCCGAGCUCUCAGAUGCGGCUGCAGUAGACUCCGCUCAGAAAGUCCAGACGCCUUGAGGCCAAGGCUCACCCCCAGAUCAGCUGCAGGAGAAUCUCUUCAAUGGGACCUGGGCACCUCUCACUGUUUUGCAUGAUUCUGAUGCUCC